CUUAUCUGUUGCCUGUCUCCACAUCUCAGAGGUUCAUGGGUGUUACAUUAUUGUAACAACCUUCCUCGUCUGCUGUCUCCUCACUGCUGUGAUUUGACCUACUUGGCGACACUUCCCUAAGUAUUAGAAUCUUCUCUUAUGAUGCCAACAUGAGGACUUCACUUCCGAUACUCCCCAUGCAAGUAUGAGAAACUCUUGCUGGAGAAGUAGCAUAGUGACAGAGGGUAAGAGAAUUAACUGGUGGAGCACGCUAUUGCUGUCCUUGUCACUUAGUACUCUGCUUAGACCUGCAUGCUACUGUGUUGAGUACUGCUUUUUGCAUAAAACAUUGUCUUUUCAGAGAAAAGGCAGUGAGUUUUUACUAUUUGUAGGGUUUGCAGGGGCCUAAAUAGUGUUUUAAACACUAUAGGGUCAGGAAUAAACAUUAGUGUUCCUGACCCUAUAGUGAUCAUUUAACCCCUUAAGGACACAUGACAUGUCAUGAUUCCCUUUUAUUCCAGAAGUUUGGUCCUUAAGGGGUUAAAUCAUCUAUGUCCAGAUUAGGGGUUACAACCCAUUCAUGGAAUUACUCCAAUGUUUCUUCAGAGAAAUACCUCUCUGGGGGCAAAUGCUUGGAAUAUUCAUUUGUUGACUGCAUUUUCUUGCUGGGAUGAAGAUUGACCAAUCCUGGCAUCUUCAUUAUCUUUGAUAGAAAGACAGGCCAAUCUAGCACAUACAUCCCAAGUAUUCUUAUUUAGGAUGUACAGGUUCUAUAUAGGGCCCAAAUCCUUCUUUUCUCUCCGAAUGCCCCCUUUUGUAAGUGCUGAUUAUUUUUGGUGUUCCUGAGUGAAUAACAGAGCUCCACAACAAUAAUUCUUACAAUAACUUGUCUUUAAACUAAUAAUAAAUGGGUUUAGAAAACAGUUUUGAAAUAAGAUAGUACAUUUUAGUUAUCUUGCUCUUCUAAAUUACAUUUUACUUGCAUAAAUCGUUAGUAGUAAGUGUACAGCCUGUGUAAAUUUGCUGUCCCCUGAAUAUAACGCAACACACAGCCAUUAAUGUCUAAACUGUUGGCAACAAAAGUGAGUACACCCCUAAGUGGAAAUGUCCAAAUUAGGCCCAAAGUGUCAAUAUUUUGUGUGGCCACCAUAAUUUUCCAGCACUGCCUUAACACUCAUGAGCAUGAAGUUUACCAGAGCUUCACAGGUUGUCACUGGAGUCCUCUUCCACUUCCCCAUGAUAACAUCAUGGAGCUGGUGGAUAUUAGAGACCUUGCGCUCCCCCAUCUUCCGUUUGAGGAUGUCCCACAGAUGCUCAAUAGGGUUUAGGUCUGGAGACAUGCUUGGCCAGCCCAUCACCUUUACCUUCAGCUUCUUUAGCAAGGCAUCGGUCGUCUUGGAGGUAUGUUUCGGGUCAUUAUCAUGAUGGAAUACUGCCCUGCGGCCCAGUCUCCGAAGGGAGGGGAUCAUGCUCUGCUUCAGUAUGUCACAGUACAUGUUGGCAUUCAUGGCUCCCUCAAUGAACUGUAGCUCCCCAGUGUCGACAGCACUCAUGCAGGCCCAGACCAUGACACUCCCACCACCAUGCUUGACUGUAGGCAAGACACACUUGUCUUUGUACUCCUCACCUGGUUGCCACCACACACGCUUAACACGAUCUGAACCAAAUAAGUUUAUCUUGGUCUCAUCCAACCACAGCACAUGGUUCCAGUAAUCCAUGUCCUUAGUCUGCUUGUCUUCAGCAAACUGUUUGCGGGCUUUCUUGUGCAUCAUCUUUAGAAGAAGCCAUACAGACCAAUUUGAUGCAGUGUGUGGCGUAUGGUCUGAGCACUUACAGGCUGACCCACCACUCCUUCAACCUCUGCAGCAAUGCUGGCAGCACUCAUAUGUAUAUUUCCCAAAGACAACCUCUGGAUAUGAUGCUGAGCACGUGCACUCAACUUCUUUGGUCGACCAUGGCGAGGCCUGUUCUGAGUGGAACCUGUCCUGUGAAACCGUUGUAUGGUCUUGCCCACCAUGCUGCAUCUCAGUUUCUGGGUCUUAGCAAUCUUCUUAUAGCCUAGGCCAUCUUUAUGUAGAGCAACAAUUAUUUUAUUCAGGUCCUCAGAGAGUUCAUUUACAUUAGGUGCCAUGUUGAACUUCCAGUGACCAGUAUGAGAGAGUGUGAGAGCGAUAACACCAAAUUUAACACCUGAGACCUUGUAAAACUAACGAGUCACAUGACACCAUGGAGGGAAAAUGGCUAAUUGGGCCCAAUUUGGACAUUUCCACUUAGGGGUGUACUCACUUUUGUUGCCAACGGUUUAGACAUUAAAGGGAUACUAUAGUCACCAGAACAACUACAGCUUAUUGAAUUUGUUCUGGUGAGUAGAAUCAUUCCCUUCAGGCUUUUUGCAGUAAACACUGUCUUUUCAGAGAAAAUGCAGUGUUUACAUUACAGCCUAGUAAUAACUUCACUGGCCGCUCCUCAGAUAGCUGUUAGAGAUCCUUCCUGGGUCAUAGCUGCCUAAAAUGCUUCCAAACAUUCAGUAUCUCCUCCCUUUGCAUGCAGACACUGAAUUUUCCUCAUAGAGAUUCAUUGAUUCAAUUCAUCUCUAUGAGAAGAUGCUGAUUGGCUAGGGCUGUGUUUGAAUUGUGCUGGCUCUGCCCCCGAUCUGCCUCUUUGUCAGUCUCAGCCAAUUCUACAGGGAGGCACUGUGAUUGGAUCAGACUACUACUUCUGCUGAUGUCAGCAGACAGUUGGCAGGUCUAAAGGAAACAGUGACAAAGCCAGCAGCUUCAGGCUUGAAUACAAGUAAGAUUUACUAUAUCUAGAGAGGCAUGAGGGGACCAGGGUGGCUAGAUGGUGGUUUAACCCUAUAGGGUCAGGAAUACAUGUUUGUGUUCCUGACCAUAUAGUGCUCCUUUAAUGGCUGUGUGAUGAGUUAUUUUGAGGGGACAGCAAAUUUACACUGUUAUGCAGGCUGUACACUUACUACUUUACAUUGUAGCAGAGUGUCAUUUCUUCAGUGUUGUCACAUGAAAAGAUAUAAUAAAAUAUUUACAAAAAUGUGAGGGGUGUAUAUAUAUAUAUAUAUAUAUAUAUAUAUACUGAGUUUCUACAAAAUAAUAACAAAUAUUCUCUCUCUCUCUCUCUAUAUAUAUAUACAUAUAUAUAUAUAUAUAUAUAUAUAUAUAUAUAUAUAUAUACACAUACACACACACAUACACAUUUAUAUAUAUAUUGUGAUAAAGUGAAGGCAGAUAGGCCUUUUAACCCCAGGGGAAGUACGUGUAGUUUGUGUGUUGCACAACACAAAGCAUUGUUUAGUUAUGGGCCCCUGGGGUGGAGCAUUUGGAGAGAAGGGUGGGCCAAUGCUCCACUCCACAGUUUAGUGGUUUUCUGGGGAGACAUAGAUCCAAGCCAGGGUUUUUUGGACCGUCUCCAACCCACUGCUCAGCUGCAGUUAAUGAGCUGUUGCAGUGGGAAUAAACCCCUCCCGGCUAGGCAGGAAAAGGAGAGGGAUUGCUGGCUUCCUCCCAGGAAGCAGGUAGGAGAGAGGCUGUUCUCUCCAGAUAGAGAGUCAAGGAGACUAGGCACUGGGAGUGCAGAAAGGAAGCAGUCAAGGCUGGCUUGGAGCACUGGGAGUGCAGGAGGAAGCAGUCAAGGCUGGCUUGGAGCACUAGGAGUGCAGAAAGGAAAGCAGUCAGGGCAAGGCUGGCUUGGAGCACUGGGAGUGUAUGAGGAAGCAGUCAAGGCUGGCUUGGAGCACUGGGAGUGCAGAAAGGAAAGUAGUCAGGGCAAGGCUGGCUUGGAGCACUGGGAGUGCAGAAAGGAAAGCAACAGGCUAGCUAGCAGAGUGUUGCUAUCUAAUAAGGUUGGUGCAAUAUGUUUUUGUUAGUUUAACCCUGAUAGAGAGGGAUAUACAAAGUGAGUCAGUGCUCAGACGAGCUAGGUUUUUGUUUAAAGGGAAACCUGUUAUAUUUAUGUUUUCAUUUGCUGCUGCCUCAUAUGUAAACUUACAAAUAAAGUGCCUGGAAUGAAGUUGCAUUGAAAGACUGUGCAUGUUUUUGCCCUAGAGGACCGUGCUACCUGCAGACAAAGAUAUAUAUAUAUAUAUAUAUAUAUAUAUAUAUAUAUAUAUAAAAUAUUUAUUAUAUUUUUAAGAAACUCAAUAAAAAUGUAAAUGAACAAAAAAAAAAAACUUUAGAACAAGAAUUAUUGUAUAUUCUAGUUAGUUCAAUCUUCCAAACAAAGGAAUGCAGCUGAUCUAUACUGACUUUGCAUGAGUAAAAGUACUGCCAUUUCUCAGCAUCACAUCAUGCUGACAUACCUUCCAAUAUUUCAAAUGGACACAGAGAGACACUUUAAGUUUAUAGGUGUAAGUGAAAGUGUGGCCAGGGGCAAGGCUAUUUUGAGAUGACAAACAUCCCAAUGCAGCUCAAUGAGCAGUCUUUGCAGGGCAGGUGCUCUGAGCAAUUGUUGUCUCUUGAGUUUAGCUUUACUAGGCUAAACAAACCAGGAAGUAACAGGACCUGUUGUCUGCUUGAAAGCCAGGGGGUGUAACCAGGUUAAUUCAUAAAAGUGUAAAUUUCUACUGAAACCAGCACUUUUUGCAAAAUAAAAAAAACCAGAGGACACACUCUUCACAUAUAAAGCUUUUCAGCAAGCUAAAGUGUUUUAGGAGUCUGGAGGGUUCCCUUUAAAGGGACACUAUAGUCAACAGAACAACUACAGCUUAUUGUAUUUGUUCUGGUGAAUAGAAUCAUUACAUUCAAGCUCUUUGCAGUAAACACUGUCUUUUCAGAUAAAAUGCAGUUUUUACAUUACUGUGAUUUCCCUGCCGGCUUUGGCCCAUGGCCACCGCGGCCCACCGGGCAUUUGCCGGUGUACCCAAUGGCCAGUCUGGGCCUAGCUAUUAGAGAUCCUUCCUGGGGCAGUGCUGCCUAGUGUGCAUCACAACAUUCAGUGUCUCCACCCUCUGCAUGGAGACACUGAACUUUCCUCAUAGAGAUGCAUUGAUUCAAUUCAUCUCUAAGAGGAGAUGCUGAUUGGCCAGGGCUGUGUUUGACUUUUGCUGGCACUGCCCCUGAUUUGCCUCCUUAACAGUCUCAGCCAAUUCUAUGGGGAGGCAUUGUGAUUGGCUCAGUCCACCACUUCUGAUAAUGUCAGCAGGCAGAUCAAGGGCAGAGGCAGCAGCUGCAGACUUAAAUACAAGUACAAUUUUACUAUGUAUUUAUCGAGGCCAAUGGGGGAGAGGACGGGGGGGUUAGCUGGUGGUUUUAACACCAUAGGGUCAGAAAUACAUGUUUGUGUUCCUGACCCUAUAGUGAUCCUUUAAGGGCAAAAAUAAAGGAAAAAUUUAACUUACAUGUACUUACAUAUUAUGUCCUCCUGACAUAGGCUUGCCACAGAAAUAAAUGGUGUAUCCAAUGAGAAAGCGUUUGAGACAGGCAAUGACAUCUGCAUUAAAACUCCCUGAACUCUAAAAGCAAUCACCCACCACAAGUUUGAUGGCUACAUGGCCACUAAGCUGCUGGAUCCUCAAAGAAUAUUGAAACUGUCUACGCAACUGACAGGCAUCAUUUACAAACUAAACCAUGUGUUGCAAGCAAAUUACAAUAAUUUCACAGAAUUUAGUGACCCGAAGAAAACAAUUAAUUUGCCACUUCAGCAUUAAAUCAAUAUGGAUCAAAGUGUAACUUAGCAAAUUUUAUUAUUUUUUUGCAGCUACGCUUAUUAGUAAAAUCGUACAUGGUUUCACAGCUGGCAGUUAAGGAACAUAUCCCUCCAGGGCUUUUCUAACCUAAAGUUUCUGUAGAAGUAUUUUAUUUAUUUUUUGCAUUACCCCAUAUGUGCACUAGAGCAUUUCGGCCAUAACUCAAACAUAAAUUGCUAAAUGCUUUAUGUGUUUCCUACAGCAAAGGCUGGAAAUUCAUAAUUUAUUUAGACUGUCAGAAUAUGCCAGGAUGAUUGUUAAAAAAAAUUUAAAAAUAUAAAAUAUAGAUAAAUUCCAAACAGAGUGCACUCCGGAGGGUUGGAUUCAAUCAACCAACUUUUCUUUAUUUGUGCAGAAUAUAUAAGGAAAUGUCAACAUUUCUGUCUCUAAAAUGUAUAUAUUUUUGAUAAAUUUAAUUAUAGGCUUUUGCUUUUUUUCAGAGCUGAAAUUCGCUAAUGUAAGUCUGUUUAUGUAUUAAUAUUGUUAGAUGUCCUAGAGUCAUUGCCUUUCUCAUAACAGGAAUUCCCACCCAUGAUAUCCUGCUUGGUGUGCCUCUACAAC
This is a non-coding RNA of Pelobates cultripes (western spadefoot toad), 6238 nucleotides long. NCBI's taxonomy places the organism in Eukaryota, Metazoa, Chordata, Amphibia, Anura, Pelobatidae. The record is from the annotation of a GenBank genome assembly.